CAAUAGCGUAUAUUAAAGUUGUUGCGGUUAAAAAGCUCGUAGUUGGAUUUCUGCUGAGGACGACCGGUCCGCCCUCUGGGUGAGUAUCUGGCUUGGCCUUGGCAUCUUCUUGGAGAACGUAGCUGCACUUGACUGUGUGGUGCGGUAUCCAGGACUUUACUUGAGGAAAUUAGAGUGUUUCAAGCAGGCACACGCCUUGAAUACAUUAGCAUGGAAUAAUAAGAUAGGACCUUGGUUCUAUUUUGUUGGUUUUGAGAACCAGAGUAAUGAUUAAUAGGGACAGUUGGGGGCAUUCAUAUUUCAUUGUCAGAGGUGAAAUUCUUGGAUUUAUGAAAGAUGAACUUCUGCGAAAGCAUUUGCCAAGGAUGUUUUCAUUAAUCAAGAACGAAAGUUAGGGGAUCGAAGACGAUUAGAUACC
RNAcentral lists this ribosomal RNA (418 nucleotides) under uncultured eukaryote. RNAcentral's name for it is "SSU rRNA". It matches the Rfam family "Eukaryotic small subunit ribosomal RNA", at positions 592 to 1016 of the family's 1831-position model. The record is from RNAcentral.